AGAGUUUGAUCAUGGCUCAGGCGAACGCUGGCGGCGNNCUUAACACAUGCAAGUCGAACGUGAAGCCGGAGCUUGCUCCGGUGGAAAGUGGCGAACGGGUGCGUAACACGUGAGCAACCUGCCCCGAAGACUGGGAUAACACCGGGAAACCGGUGCUAAUACCGGAUACCUUCUUCCGAUCGCAUGGUUGGACGAAGAAAUGGAUUCCGCUUCGGGAUGGGCUCGCGGCCUAUCAGCUUGUUGGUGAGGUAACGGCCCACCAAGGCGACGACGGGUAGCUGGUCUGAGAGGACGACCAGCCACACUGGGACUGAGACACGGCCCAGACUCCUACGGGAGGCAGCAGUGGGGAAUCUUGCUCAAUGGGCGAAAGCCUGAAGCAGGACGCCGCGUGCGGGAUGAAGGCCUUCGGGUUGUAAACCGCUUUCAGCAGGGACGAAAUUGACGGUACCUGCAGAAGAAGGCCCGGCCAACUACGUGCCAGCAGCCGCGGUAAUACGUAGGGGCCUAGCGUUGUCCGGAUUUAUUGGGCGUAAAGAGCUCGUAGGCGGUUUGGUGAGUCGGGUGUGAAAUCUCCACGCUCAACGUGGAGGGGCCACCCGAUACUGCCAUGACUAGAGUCCGGUAGGGGAGUGUGGAAUUCCCGGUGUAGCGGUGAAAUGCGCAGAUAUCGGGAGGAACACCAGUAGCGAAGGCGACACUCUGGGCCGGUACUGACGCUGAGGAGCGAAAGCGUGGGGAGCAAACAGGAUUAGAUACCCUAGUAGUCC
Molecule: ribosomal RNA, 770 nt
Filed under: uncultured bacterium
Lineage: Bacteria
Description: bacterial SSU rRNA
Rfam family: Bacterial small subunit ribosomal RNA
Source: RNAcentral